AAGUGCGAUCAUACCAGCAGUAAUGCACCGGAUCCUAUCAGAAUUCCACAGUUAAGUGUGCUUGGGCGAGAGUAGUACUAGGAUGGCUGUCCUCCUGUGAAGUCCUCGUAUUGCACCUC
This 119-nucleotide ribosomal RNA is filed under the name Lupinus angustifolius (narrow-leaved blue lupine). The record is from RNAcentral. Lineage: Eukaryota; Viridiplantae; Streptophyta; Magnoliopsida; Fabales; Fabaceae.